RNAcentral lists this ribosomal RNA (236 nucleotides) under uncultured bacterium. Its description in RNAcentral is "partial 16S ribosomal RNA". It matches the Rfam family "Bacterial small subunit ribosomal RNA", at positions 118 to 351 of the family's 1533-position model. The record is from RNAcentral.
UGAGUAACCUGCCCUUAACUCUGGGAUAAGCCUGGGAAACUGGGUCUAAUACCGGAUAUGACUCCUCAUCGCAUGGGUGGGGGGUGGAAAGCUUUUUGUGGUUUUGGAUGGACUCGUGGCCUAUCAGCUUGUUGGUGAGGUAAUGGCUCACCAAGGCGACGACGGGUAGCCGGCCUGAGAGGGUGACCGGCCACACUGGGACUGAGACACGGCCCAGACCUCCGUACGGGAGGCAG